Molecule: long non-coding RNA, 2451 nt
Organism: Thunnus maccoyii (southern bluefin tuna)
Lineage: Eukaryota; Metazoa; Chordata; Actinopteri; Scombriformes; Scombridae
Exons: 3
Source: RefSeq, a predicted model, not a curated record
AGGAGCUGGAGGGAAAAAAACUAUGAGCCGAGAGAAAAGGAGAGAGAUACAUUGGCAACAUAUACAACACCUAAUUGUGCUUAAUGCCAAUGAAGCAGAGUUAAUAGAAUUGAUAGAUGUAUGUUUGGAGCAGGGUGCCUGGUGUAAAACAAGUUAAAUGUCUGGAUGACAAAAAAACAACACAAAUAAAACAGAAAUGUGAAACUGGUAAACAUGAAGCCAGUUUCACACUUCUGUGUUCAUUUUAUAAUGCAGGACCAUCAGGAAUAUGGUGGAAAGACUGUUUUAUAUAUAUUAACUGUCAUGUAAUUGUCAGAUUUUAUGAACAGUUUCAUGCUUUUGUUUAUUCAUUUGCAAAAAUGUUUGUAGGCCUGCAUACAGUGACUUACCAGAGUAUGCAACUGUGCAGCCCAAUGCGAUGUGAAGUUUUGGCGGACACUGUAUCAGAGAAGAAUUGAUAAAACCCAUUUAAAUGGUACUGGUAAUGUAAUAUAGUACAAUAUAACAUCAUAGUGUAACUACACCCUCAGAACAUUUGCAUUUUCCUUAGAAAGUUUAGAGUCUCAGCUGUUCAGGCUGCAGAUCUUAAUGUAACUCUGAGUGUGUUAAAUCAGCACCUAGCUAGUGUUUCCAUCUCUUCAUACUCAAACACUGUUACAUACUGUAGUUAUGAACUGUUACCUCAGAGGCAUGUCAGCUCUCUGGGUGGACAAGCGACUCUCCAAUCAACAUUUGUCAUCUCAAAGUAAAUAUCAAUGAAAUAACAGCUUGAAUAUGAUGUUUAGUUUUCCUGAAGUGGUUUCUGACUAAAGGCACCAUGCCUUUAAACGCAACGUGUCUGCAACUGUCCAGAUGUAAUUUAGAUUAGAUUAGAUGUAAUUUUAAUGAUCCCUGUGGACGAGUAAUGGAAUGUAGCUUGAGAAACUAAUUUAUAGCUAAUCAUUAUUGAACAAAGUGUUUAACUGUGAAGAAAGGAAAGGCAAGAAAAGGAAUCCACACUAGAGGAUAAGACACUGAGAUACAUGCUGUGGUUAUUUCACCAGUGGCCUAGAUUAAGCCGGCUAGAUGGUGUUUGGCAUUUUGAAGUAUGUGUGUGUGUGUGUGUGUGUGUCUGUGUGUGUGUGUGUUUGUGCACACUCACUGGGCUUUACACCAGCUGUGCCACUGCACACAAGGAAGGAGCUGCCGCCAAAAUGAGCUGUCUUCACAAAGAGCCAAAAAUCAUCCAGCACGCCACUGGGCACACACAUAUACACACACACACACACACAUAUAAACACACAUACCCACAUAUGUGAAUACAUUGCACAGACAGAUGCGGACAUACAUACGAGAUCCCAGUUAAAAAGGUGUGAAUUUAAUAGUGGACAAAACAUAUCUCCUGAGUUUUCAUUUUAAACCUGUAAAGUGUAUCAUCAAUUAUGUCACUAGAGUGUGUACACAUGUGAACAUUUUUGCGUGCAUGCGUGUGUGUACGCAUGUGUGCAGAGCCAAACAGCCAAGUGCUCUCAGGUUUGAUGGCUUUCUGUUAUGACUCCAUUAUGCUGAUGGCUUUGGUUCUGUUCCAGGUUCUCUAUGUGUGUGUGUGUUUCUGUGUGUGCGUGCGUGUGUGUGUGUGUGUGUAUAUGGUGGCAGGAGAACACUUGCACUCCACAGCAUCAUUAAGGAUUGAUGAAGCGUCUCUGCAGAGCCUGGCUCUGACUCCUGAGAGGAUCCCAGGCUUCCUCAUCCAGUCCAGGAGUCCACUCUACUUCUACUCCCCACACCAUCGCUGGAACACCCCAGAUCACCCAACACCACUCUCUGACAUUGACACGGGUUUAGGGACCUCCUCUGCUAAUGCGAGCUUCAAGCCACAGCUGAAUCCUGGAUGUUGGUUAGAAAAGGAGAUGAGAAGUAGCAGAACAAGUCAUGGUGGCAGGAACACUGUAAGUUAUUAUGCAUUAUUGCAUUAGACAUUAGCCUACUUUUGUUAAUUAUUUUGGACAGUUGUGUAUUUGCCUUUAAUUUAAGUUUAAAAGGAGGUAAAGUGCUACAACACACUUGCCGCAGAGCCAUUUUGGCUUCAACUUUGGCUCUACAGCAUAUUGCAGUUAGACUAAAAAUAUUGCACAUACAUGUUUGCAUAGGUCUUUGUUAUUACAUUAUGGUAUGUCUCUCUGUAAACACUUAUCAUUGUGUGUGUAUGUUUUCCAGGCUUCUUCAUGUCUGCUACACCAGGAAAGUCCAGUCGCUGGAUGUACGGCCGUACUGUAAGAGAACAAAGGUCAUCAAAAGGGCAGACCAUGCAGGCAGUGCCGGAGCCAAACAUCUCUUUGACCCGCUGCUGCUUCAGAGCGCAGCACAGCUGGCUCAUGGUCAGGUAACGCUCCGUCACCUUGAAUUCACCCUGGGAGAAGAAGAGGGCAGACGGAUCAGAGGAAAUGUAUCCUUGCAUGUUGACCUUUAAUG